This is a long non-coding RNA of Oryzias latipes (Japanese medaka), 1368 nucleotides long. RefSeq lists it as uncharacterized. The record is from RefSeq and is a predicted model, not a curated record. Lineage: Eukaryota; Metazoa; Chordata; Actinopteri; Beloniformes; Adrianichthyidae.
GUUUUAUUAUAAAACCCAAAAAUUAUAUAUUCAAAUUUCAGAGUGAAGUUGGGGUGAAUAUGAUUUCUGAUAAAUUGUAAACACUUCUUCCAAAAAAAUUCUAAUUUUAGUACAAUUCCAAAAAAGAUGGUUAAUUGCUUUUGGAUGUUCUUUGCAAAAGGGACAGUUAGGAUCAAUUUUUUAAUGUAUCUUAGCAUGAAUUGAUUAGUGGGGUAAAUUUUGUGAAUGAUUUUAAAAGAAACUUCUUUCAUUUUUUAUUUUAUUUAUCAUAGAUUUUUGGGUAACACUCCAGCCCUUUCUCCAAAUGCUGCCGGGAACAAAACGUCUUCAGUAGUUUCGAAGCCGCAAAACAACACGAGGAGAACGAACGGCCAUGACGUCUUACCCGAGCUCCAGUAAAGUGAAAUUUGAUUGGUCACGUUCUGCAACGCGACCAAUCAGCUGUCGAGUUGCAGCGCUCCGCGCCGCCAUGACGCAAUCUGUUUGAAAACAAUGGCGGCACGGAGCGUUAGGUCCGAAGAUGAAGACGGAAAAAAAGAACAAAAGUUGACCGUAGGAGACAUGGACACCCUCUAGUAAGCGAGGCUGACCGCGUCCUCACAACGAAAAGACCUCAGAGGAUCCGGGAGUUGGCGGCAGUGACCCGGCCGAGCCGAUAAGUUCAGGAAAAGAGUCUUCAUCUGAAGCGAUUGAAACAGAAUCACAGAGGCUGGACGACGUGGAAAAAACCAAGAAGAAGCUACAAGAACACCGGAUACGACCCCCCCCCCCACCUCGAAGUUUCCAUUCUUGUCCAUCACAAACACAAGAACCUCGGAGAGCAGCUCCAGUGGAAGGUCCGGGCAGAUGACAACUUCAGAACACCGCACAAUGAGGAGAUGACGGCAGCAGUGAAAGAUGUGGAACCAAAUUGGAGUUUCCACCAAGUUAGAAGAGCUUGCAAUAGAGCUAUUGACAGUCUCAAGUGCAAAGAGAGAGAAUGGAGAUAGAAGCAAGGAGGAGGUCAAAAGGAGGACCAGUCAGCACGAUCAGCUCUUCAAAAAGAGGGUCAAAAUUGCUGAGAAGAUUCUCAAUCAAGAGGAUCUGUCAUAAAUAAAAAGAGCCAAUGCAAACUAUGUCAGCGACGAGGAAAGUGACGAAGACAAACCAUCUUAUUAUCAAUCCUCGCCAAAGUGGCGCUCCACUAGGCUAACCAGGGUGAUGCAGAAAUGCCAUAAAGCCUGGCAUGAAAACUGGAGGAGUGGAAUUGAGCCAAAAUUACGCACGAGACACUCAGCUGGCUUUACUGAAGGAAACCCACCACCAGUCAAGAGCUGCUAUCUGACAGAAGAGAAAAAAAGGAUGCAUGUUUAUUUGUGGUUUUUGACC